GGAAGAAAAACGUCUGGACUUCUUUAAGUUUCUUGAAGAUGAAGUCCAGAUGCUUUUCUUUCCA
Astatotilapia calliptera (eastern happy) is the source of this 64-nucleotide microRNA precursor. Lineage: Eukaryota; Metazoa; Chordata; Actinopteri; Cichliformes; Cichlidae. The record is from Ensembl.